UGACGGCACCCAAAGAAUAAGCACCGGCUAACUUCGUGCCAGCAGCCGCGGUAAUACGAAGGGUGCAAGCGUUACUCGGAAUUACUGGGCGUAAAGCGUGCGUAGGUGGUCGUUUAAGUCCGUUGUGAAAGCCCUGGGCUCAACCUGGGAACUGCAGUGGAUACUGGGCGACUAGAGUGUGGUAGAGGGUAGCGGAAUUCCUGGUGUAGCAGUGAAAUGCGUAGAGAUCAGGAGGAACAUCCAUGGCGAAGGCAGCUACCUGGACCAACACUGACACUGAGGCACGAAAGCGUGGGGAGCAAACAGGAUUAGAUACCCUGGUAGUCCACGCCCUAAACGAUGCGAACUGGAUGUUGGGUGCAAUUUGGCACGCAGUAUCGAAGCUAACGCGUUAAGUUCGCCGCCUGGGGAGUAC
Molecule: ribosomal RNA, 415 nt
Filed under: uncultured bacterium
Lineage: Bacteria
Description: bacterial SSU rRNA
Rfam family: Bacterial small subunit ribosomal RNA
Source: RNAcentral